GGUUAAGCGACUAAGCGUACACGGUGGAUGCCCUGGCAGUCAGAGGCGAUGAAGGACGUGCUAAUCUGCGAUAAGCGUCGGUGAGGUGAUAUGAACCGUUAUAACCGGCGAUUUCCGAAUGGGGAAACCCAGUGUGUUUCGACACACUAUCAUUAACUGAAUCCAUAGGUUAAUGAGGCGAACCGGGGGAACUGAAACAUCUAAGUACCCCGAGGAAAAGAAAUCAACCGAGAUUCCCCCAGUAGCGGCGAGCGAACGGGGAGGAGCCCAGAGCCUGAAUCAGUGUGUGUGUUAGUGGAAGCGUCUGGAAAGGCGCGCGAUACAGGGUGACAGCCCCGUACACAAAAAUGCACAUAUUGUGAGCUCGAUGAGUAGGGCGGGACACGUGGUAUCCUGUCUGAAUAUGGGGGGACCAUCCUCCAAGGCUAAAUACUCCUGACUGACCGAUAGUGAACCAGUACCGUGAGGGAAAGGCGAAAAGAACCCCGGCGAGGGGAGUGAAAAAGAACCUGAAACCGUGUACGUACAAGCAGUGGGAGCCUCUUAAUGGGGUGACUGCGUACCUUUUGUAUAAUGGGUCAGCGACUUAUAUUCUGUAGCAAGGUUAACCGAAUAGGGGAGCCGAAGGGAAACCGAGUCUUAACUGGGCGUUAAGUUGCAGGGUAUAGACCCGAAACCCGGUGAUCUAGCCAUGGGCAGGUUGAAGGUUGGGUAACACUAACUGGAGGACCGAACCGACUAAUGUUGAAAAAUUAGCGGAUGACUUGUGGCUGGGGGUGAAAGGCCAAUCAAACCGGGAGAUAGCUGGUUCUCCCCGAAAGCUAUUUAGGUAGCGCCUCGUGAAUUCAUCUCCGGGGGUAGAGCACUGUUUCGGCAAGGGGGUCAUCCCGACUUACCAACCCGAUGCAAACUGCGAAUACCGGAGAAUGUUAUCACGGGAG
This 941-nucleotide ribosomal RNA is filed under the name Escherichia coli. Its description in RNAcentral is "partial 23S ribosomal RNA". It matches the Rfam family "Bacterial large subunit ribosomal RNA", at positions 1 to 983 of the family's 2925-position model. Lineage: Bacteria; Pseudomonadati; Pseudomonadota; Gammaproteobacteria; Enterobacterales; Enterobacteriaceae. The record is from RNAcentral.